UAUGGCCAUAUUAUGUUGAAACACCAGUUCUUGUACAAUCACUGAAGUUAAGCAACAUUGAGCCUGGUCAUUAUCUAGAUGGGUGACUGCUUGGGAAUAUUAAGUGCUGUAA
Molecule: non-coding RNA, 112 nt
Organism: Acanthosepion pharaonis
Lineage: Eukaryota; Metazoa; Mollusca; Cephalopoda; Sepiida; Sepiidae
Source: the annotation of a GenBank genome assembly